AAACCAUGUUGUGGACAUUGCCUCAAAAGAUCUAGGUACCUUUCCCAAGGUUUGUAUAAUGUUUCCCCAUCUUGUUGAGUGAAAGAAGCUAUGUCAUGUCAAAGUUU
This is a small nucleolar RNA of Dioscorea cayenensis subsp. rotundata (Guinea yam), 107 nucleotides long. The record is from RefSeq and is a predicted model, not a curated record. Lineage: Eukaryota; Viridiplantae; Streptophyta; Magnoliopsida; Dioscoreales; Dioscoreaceae.